AUCGCUGAUAGAUAGGCAUGCGUUCCAUUAGGCAGUUGGCGGGGUAACGGCCCACCAAACCGACGAUGGAUAGGGGUUCUGAGAGGAAGGUCCCCCACAUUGGUACUGAGACACGGACCAAACUCCUACGGGAGGCAGCAGUGAGGAAUAUUGGUCAAUGGGCGCGAGCCUGAACCAGCCAAGUCGCGUGAGGGAUGAAGGUUCUAUGGAUCGUAAACCUCUUUUAUAAGGGAAUAAAGUGUGGGACGUGUCCUAUUUUGUAUGUACCUUAUGAAUAAGGAUCGGCUAACUCCGUGCCAGCAGCCGCGGUAAUACGGAGGAUCCGAGCGUUAUCCGGAUUUAUUGGGUUUAAAGGGUGCGUAGGCGGCCUUUUAAGUCAGCGGUGAAAGUCUGUGGCUCAACCAUAGAAUUGCCGUUGAAACUGGGGGGCUUGAGUAUGUUUGAGGCAGGCGGAAUGCGUGGUGUAGCGGUGAAAUGCUUAGAUAUCACGCAGAACCCCGAUUGCGAAGGCAGCCUGCCAAGCCAUGACUGACGCUGAUGCACGAAAGCGUGGGGAUCAAACAGGAUUAGAUACCCUGGUAGUCCACGCAGU
This 592-nucleotide ribosomal RNA is filed under the name uncultured bacterium. Its description in RNAcentral is "bacterial SSU rRNA". It matches the Rfam family "Bacterial small subunit ribosomal RNA", at positions 214 to 803 of the family's 1533-position model. The record is from RNAcentral.